AAGUCGAACGCCCCUUCGGGGGAGUGGCGGACGGGUGAGUAACGCGUGGGAAUAUGCCCUAUGGUGCGGAACAACUGAGGGAAACUUCAGCUAAUACCGCAUGUGCCCUGAGGGGGAAAGAUUUAUCGCCAUAGGAGUAGCCCGCGUUGGAUUAGCUAGUUGGUGGGGUAAUGGCUCACCAAGGCUACGAUCCAUAGCUGGUCUGAGAGGAUGAUCAGCCACACUGGGACUGAGACACGGCCCAGACUCC
This 250-nucleotide ribosomal RNA is filed under the name uncultured bacterium. RNAcentral describes it as "partial 16S ribosomal RNA". It matches the Rfam family "Bacterial small subunit ribosomal RNA", at positions 59 to 339 of the family's 1533-position model. The record is from RNAcentral.